UACGGAGGGUGCGAGCGUUAAUCGGAAUAACUGGGCGUAAAGGGCACGCAGGCGGGCUUUUAAGUGAGAUGUGAAAUCCCCGGGCUUAACCUGAGAAUAGCAUUUCAGACUGGGAGUCUAGAGUCAUUGAGGGAGGGGUAGAAUUCCGCGUGUAGCGGUGAAAUGCGUAGAGAUGUGGAGGAAUACCGAAGGCGAAGGCAGCCCCUUGGGAAUGUACUGACGCUCAUGUGCGAAAGCGUGGGGAGCAAACAGG
RNAcentral lists this ribosomal RNA (253 nucleotides) under uncultured bacterium. Its description in RNAcentral is "partial 16S ribosomal RNA". It matches the Rfam family "Bacterial small subunit ribosomal RNA", at positions 524 to 776 of the family's 1533-position model. The record is from RNAcentral.